UGCCAGCCGCCGCGGUAAGACGAAGGAUCCAAGCGUUGUCCGGAUUUACUGGGUUUAAAGGGUGCGUAGGCGGAAAAUUAAGUCAGUGGUGAAAGCCCGCAGCUCAACUGUGGAACUGCCAUUGAAACUGGUUUUCUUGAAUAUAGCUGAGGCAGAUGGAAUAUAACAUGUAGCGGUGAAAUGCUUAGAUAUGUUAUAGAACACCGAUUGCGAAGGCAGUCUGCUAAACUAUUAUUGACGCUGAGGCACGAAAGCGUGGGGAGCGAACAGGAUUAGAUACCCUGGUAGUCCACGCCCUAAACGUUGAUUACUCGCUGUUGGCGAUAUACUGUCAGUGGCUAAGCGAAAGCGUUAAGUAAUCCACCUGGGAAGUACGACCGCAAGGUUGAAACUCAAAUGAAUUGGCGG
This 408-nucleotide ribosomal RNA is filed under the name uncultured Bacteroidota bacterium. RNAcentral describes it as "bacterial SSU rRNA". It matches the Rfam family "Bacterial small subunit ribosomal RNA", at positions 506 to 916 of the family's 1533-position model. Lineage: Bacteria; Pseudomonadati; Bacteroidota. The record is from RNAcentral.